GGGGCUGUGGUGCAACUUGGCUAACAUUGGCCCUUGGGGUGGGUCCGAUCCGGGUUCAAAUCCUGGCAGCCCCA
RNAcentral lists this transfer RNA (74 nucleotides) under Candidatus Woesearchaeota archaeon. RNAcentral's name for it is "tRNA-Pro". It matches the Rfam family "tRNA". From Rfam's summary of the family: Transfer RNA (tRNA) molecules are approximately 80 nucleotides in length. Their secondary structure includes four short double-helical elements and three loops (D, anti-codon, and T loops). Lineage: Archaea; Nanobdellati; Candidatus Woesearchaeota. The record is from RNAcentral.